GUGAGGAAUAUUGGUCAAUGGGCGAGAGCCUGAACCAGCCAAGUAGCGUGCAGGAUGACGGCCCUAUGGGUUGUAAACUGCUUUUACACGGGGAUAAAGUGUGCGACGUGUCGUUCAUUGCAGGUACCGUGCGAAUAAGGACCGGCUAAUUCCGUGCCAGCAGCCGCGGUAAUACGGAAGGUCCGGGCGUUAUCCGGAUUUAUUGGGUUUAAAGGGAGCGUAGGCCGUCUGUUAAGCGUGUUGUGAAAUGUAGAUGCUCAACAUCUGAAUUGCAGCGCGAACUGACCGACUUGAGUGCGCAGGAAGUAGGCGGAAUUCGUGGUGUAGCGGUGAAAUGCUUAGAUAUCACGCAGAACUCCGAUUGCGAAGGCAGCUUACUAAGCUACAACUGACACUGAAGCACGAAAGCGUGGGGAUCAAACAGGAUUAGAUACCCUUGUAGUCC
This 445-nucleotide ribosomal RNA is filed under the name uncultured bacterium. RNAcentral describes it as "partial 16S ribosomal RNA". It matches the Rfam family "Bacterial small subunit ribosomal RNA", at positions 354 to 796 of the family's 1533-position model. The record is from RNAcentral.